Molecule: long non-coding RNA, 177 nt
Organism: Rhipicephalus sanguineus (brown dog tick)
Lineage: Eukaryota; Metazoa; Arthropoda; Arachnida; Ixodida; Ixodidae
Exons: 3
Source: RefSeq, a predicted model, not a curated record
CUGGGAAGUUAAUCGUUUCGUACGUUCCUCGCGGUCGUCAUUCGCGGUGGAAGCCGACCGCUGCAUGCCCGUGGGUUUACAGUGCUUCCUCAUUGUUGUGGUGACGUCACCAUAAAAGUAAGCCCGGUCGACGUGCUUGGAUAUGUCUGGGGCCCUUGACUUGUGGCCUUCUGGAUA